UGUGCUGAUAGCUGCCUCAACACCUCGCAGACUAACUGCUCUGUGAACUGCUGCAAUUCUACUGGCUGCCUCAAUAGUAGUUUUGCAUCCAUGAUGAUGACAACAACAACAGUAAUUACAACGACAACAAUGAAAACAACAACAACACAAACCACAACAGUCACCAAAACGACUAUGACCAACACGCAAACAACAGCAAGCAAAGUAAGAACAAGAGGGUUUGUGUGUGUUUGAGUUUAUGCUUGCAUGGGAAUGGAUGUAUAUGAGGGGGCAGGAGGCUAGAGGCUUGUGUGUAUCAUUAAAUUCAGUUCAUCUCCAUUUCACCUUUUCUUAGAUGGUCAGCUGCACAUUUUCUUUGUGACAGCUGUCAAUGUGUAUUUAAAAAAAUAUAUAUGCAAAGUUGUUUAUAUUUGUAUACAUUGUUGACUUUUAAACACUUCCCUGUAAUAUUAAUGUUGGUGGUGGUGUGUAGAACCGUAUAACAGUUUGCAAAAUGUCGUGAGCAAGGCCUGGUGUGAGAUUAGCGUCAUCUUCUCAUUGAUGUUGUUUUCUCAGGGAAAAAAAUGCCAUUCAGGUACAUGUGAUGGCACAGAUUGCUACAAAAAUUUUGAGGAAUUCAAAACAUGCUCCCCCUCACAACCACACUGCCAGCUGAAAAAGGAGACUGUCAAUUCCAAGUUUAAGUGGACAGCGGGUUGCACCAACUGCACUAGCCAUACCCCAUGCAAAGCCUCAACACAACCUCCAUGUCUUCUAGAAUGCUGCAACGCCACUACAAAUUCCUGCUUAUGGUUGAAUGGCACAUUGAACGUCAUCUCCUUUGCCACAAGAGGUCCUCAUCUUCACAUAGAAUUGAUUGCUUCCUUACUUUGCCUGUUUGCCAUCAGUUUCCUGCUGUGAGCGACUGUGGAGGGGCUUGCUGUGGGUCAUUAAGACAUCUGAGACAUGAGUAAUUCCCUCUAGAAAAAAAGCUUAGCAAUGAGAGGUUAACGUUACUUAAUCAUUUAUCUCGCUGAUAUUCAUAUGUAAUUGUAUAUAUGUAUGGAAUUAUGUAAAGCCCCACUUACCAUGUUGAUUUUGUUUCUUGUUCAAGACAGAUUAAAAACAGCCUUGAAAAGUAUUUCUAAAAGAAAAAACAAUACAUAUAUAAACUUCAGGAAUCAAGACAAACAUGACAGAAGCAAUGUAGUCAUUACAUCACUUCACAUUUACAGUAGGUUGCAAAUCACCAUAUUAAUUAACAAAAUGAUAUAUUAAAGCAAACACUGUGUGUGACAUUCUCUCCUCUGUUAAAUUUUAAGAAAUAAUUUUAAGUUACUUAAUGUCUUGUAAUUGGUUCCCAUGACCUUGUCCAUAACUGAUUGAAUUCAGCUGCUGUCUGUUUUUGUUUGUGCCUUCCCACUACAAACGGAUUGUAGAUGGCUUUUAAUUUUGGAUGGGUGAGAGAGCCUAAACCCAACAUUCCUACUUACACUAACAUGGUUAUAAAUAUUUUAUCACCAAAACCUUUUCCUAGAUUUUCAUCCCUUCAAGCCAUUCUGAGAAUAACGCAGCUAUGACUAUAUGCACUUUAUGAGACACAAAUGUUGAGUUCUUACAGGGUGUUGUGAAGG
Molecule: long non-coding RNA, 1613 nt
Organism: Thunnus maccoyii (southern bluefin tuna)
Lineage: Eukaryota; Metazoa; Chordata; Actinopteri; Scombriformes; Scombridae
Exons: 3
Source: RefSeq, a predicted model, not a curated record